GCCGGGAUAGCUCAGUUGGUUAGAGCAGAGG
This 31-nucleotide transfer RNA is filed under the name Schiffneria hyalina. Its description in RNAcentral is "partial tRNA-Phe". The record is from RNAcentral. Lineage: Eukaryota; Viridiplantae; Streptophyta; Jungermanniopsida; Jungermanniales; Cephaloziaceae.